This 552-nucleotide ribosomal RNA is filed under the name uncultured bacterium. Its description in RNAcentral is "bacterial SSU rRNA". It matches the Rfam family "Bacterial small subunit ribosomal RNA", at positions 345 to 915 of the family's 1533-position model. The record is from RNAcentral.
GAGGCAGCAGUGGGGAAUAUUGCGCAAUGGGGGAAACCCUGACGCAGCGACGCCGCGUGGAGGAUGAAGGUCUUCGGGUUGUAAACUCCUUUUCUCAGGGAAAAUGAUGAUGGUACCUGAGGAAUAAGCCACGGCUAACUCUGUGCCAGCAGCCGCGGUAAGACAGAGGUGGCGAGCGUUGUUCGGAAUUACUGGGCUUAAAGGGCGAGUAGGCGGUAGAGCAAGUCUAAGGUGGAAUCCUAUGGCUUAACCAUAGAAUUGCCUUAGAAACUGUUUUACUUGAGUCAGUGAGGGGAGGGCGGAAUUCCUGGUGUAGCGGUGAAAUGCGUAGAUAUCAGGAGGAAGGCCUGUGGCGAAGGCGGCCCUCUGGCACUGCACUGACGCUGAGGCGCGAAAGCGUGGGUAGCAAACAGGAUUAGAUACCCUGGUAGUCCACGCCCUAAACGGUGGGCAUUAGGUGUAGGGCUCGUAAGGGUUCUGUGCCGAAGGGAAACCAUUAAAUGCCCCGCCUGGGGAGUACGGCCGCAAGGUUGAAACUUAAAUGAAUUGACG